RNAcentral lists this long non-coding RNA (2027 nucleotides) under Sus scrofa (pig). Its description in RNAcentral is "lncRNA (ENSSSCG00015004417.1)". Lineage: Eukaryota; Metazoa; Chordata; Mammalia; Artiodactyla; Suidae. The record is from RNAcentral.
CAGAGACCGCCCACAAGCCGCCACACGCACCUGUGCCCAUGUGUUCACCGUCCCUCCGUGGGCGACAGAGGGACACUCAGUGCUCUUACCUAAAGGCAGCGCCCCUUCCCCAGGGCAUGACGGCCACUCCCAGUUGCAUCCAGAAGGAUUUGGCUCCAGCAGACCUGCCCUCUGUCUCCUCGCACCGUUCAUUCAGUUUCGGCCAAAUCCUCCUCGUCCAUGCACGUAGUCUCUGCAAUCCUUUCCAAAGGCGGAACAACGCCAACAAAACAAAAAGCCUUUCUGGAUCUUGCUUCGCCCUUCCGGAUGCCGUGCCGUUUGUGUGUGCGCCUCUCAGCAGAAUGUCGCAGAGAGGUGUCUGCACGGCUGCGCGCAAAUCCUCUGAGGAACCUGCAUGUUCAGGAUUUCCAACCCGACCGCCCUUGCACUGAAAUGCCUCCUGGUGGUGUUGCUAAGACAGUGUCGGAGUUCCCUGCUGCUUCUGAAGGAUUUAGCCCAGUGGUUCACUCACUCCUUCUUGAAAUGCAUUCUUUUUUUUUUUUUUUCUUUUUCCAGGGCCGCACCCGUGGCACAGGGAGGUUCCCUGGCUAGGGGGUCUAAUUGGAGCUGUAGCUGCCAGGCUACACCACAAUCACAGCAACGCCAGAUCCGAGCUGCGUCUGCGACCUACACCACCGCUCACAGCAACACCAGAUCCUUAACCCACCGAUCGAGGCCAGGGAUCAAACCCGCAACUUCAUGUGGUUCACGAAUCCGACUAGGAACCAUGAGGGUGUGGGUUCGAUCCCUGGCCUUGCUCAGUGGGUUGAGGAUCCAGCAUUGCCGUGAGCUGUGGUGUAGGUUGUAGAUGCAGCUCGGAUCCCACGUGGCUGUGGCGGUGGUGUAGGCCGGCGGCUACAGCUCCGAUUCCACCCCGAGCCUGGGAACCUCCAUAUGCCAUGGGAGCGGCCUAGAAAAAACAAAAACAAAAACAAAACAAAACAAAAAUUCAUCAAGUGAAAUAAAGGGUGGAAGAUACCCAGGAGACUUGGAGGUGUCCCUGGAGCACUAGCUUUUGAAUGCCUCAUCUCUGAGCAUCUUUGUUUCCGGUGAUUCCACUACACAUGAGCGUUACUAAUAAAGAGAGUUGUGAGGCCUCUCUUGGGGGGUGCACUUACUUCUUGACGUAGGUGGUAAUGAAUGGGGUGCUCAGAUGAUGGUCUUGGUAGAACCACCUGUAAUAUGUCAUAGGAGGGGGGCAGUCUAAGGAAAAAUUGGACGCCAUUCUUCAGAUGUUGCCAGGUAGGUAGAUCGGGUACUCCCAAGAGUGGUGUCGACUGAGACACAGCUCUUUACCUUAGAGAUUCCCUGUUUUGUAUUGACAGCUUCCGGCCUUGGCACAAAUAUGAACUCCAAGGUGGAUCUUAUAAGUGCCUGGAUGACCCUGUUGUGCUCUAUAUGUAGAAGAUGGGGCCAUUGUAAGGAUACAUUGAAAAGAAUGAACACAGCCCUUCCGAUGGUUCUCUAUUACUCGGUUACACGGCUCAGUUCACCAGAAUCUUGACUUUGUUUUUGCACGAGCGAACUCCUCCUGGAACCCUGGGGCCUGCUUUCAGAGACGUGCCAUGGGCCCAGCAUCACCUCCAGGGGUGGUGGAUGGAGCAAAGGUGCUCAUUGGUGGACCAGGCUCCAGAACCAAACACACUGAAACAUGUCACCUCAAGUCACCAGGCAAAUGGGGAUUUCCCAUGUCAAACCUGCCUUUCGGUCUAGCUGGCGAGUCAGGUUUUCUUACUCUUGCUGUUGAAAGAUAACAUUUCGCUGCUUGAAGAGCCACACUUCCCUUCUCACUUGAACUGUUACCUAAACUGCUGUGGAUGCCACACAGAUAAGAGUUUCUCUUGCAGACUUGUUGCUUGUCUCACGCAGUCCCCCUCCCUGACCCUAGCCAGAGAAAGAGAACGAGAACGUGGGCAAAACUGUAGGUUUUCCUUUGCUCGUCAUGUCAUUGCUGUGUCCUGACUCUUUUUGGGAAAAAAAAAAAAAAA